Molecule: ribosomal RNA, 253 nt
Filed under: uncultured bacterium
Lineage: Bacteria
Description: partial 16S ribosomal RNA
Rfam family: Bacterial small subunit ribosomal RNA
Source: RNAcentral
UACAGAGGGUGCAAGCGUUGUUCGGAAUUACUGGGCGUAAAGCGCGUGUAGGCGGUUUAGCAAGUCAGACGUGAAAUCCCUAGGCUUAACCAAGGAAUGGCGUCUGAUACUGCUAAGCUAGAGUGUCGGAGGGGAUGGCGGAAUUCCCGGUGUAGAGGUGAAAUUCGUAGAUAUCGGGAGGAACACCUGUGGCGAAGGCGGCCAUCUGGAAGACAACUGACGCUGAGACGCGAAAGCGUGGGGAGCAAACAGG